AUGAACGCUGGCGGCGUGGAUAAGGCAUGCAAGUCAAGGGGGCCCGCAAGGGCAACCGGCAGACGAGGUAGUAAUAACGAGGUACGAACCCGAAAGUCGCGAAUAGCUAGUCGAAAGAUUAGGUAAUACGCGAUGGUCUCUACGGAGUAAAGAUUUAUCGCUUUCGGAUCGGCCUCGUCGGUAUCAGGUAGUUGGUAGGGUAACGGCCUACCAAGCCAAUGACGCCUAGGGGAGGUGAGAGCCUGACCCCCACCGAUGGGACUGAGACACGGCCCAUACACCUACGGGUGGCUGCAGUCGAGAAUCUUCCGCAAUGGGCGAAAGCCUGACGGAGCGACGCCGCGUGAUGGAUGAAGUUCUUCGGAAUGUAAACAUCUUUUAGAGGGGAGGAAGUCUAUUGACGUUACCCUCAGAAUAAGAGGUUGCUAAACUCGU
Molecule: ribosomal RNA, 435 nt
Filed under: uncultured bacterium
Lineage: Bacteria
Description: bacterial SSU rRNA
Rfam family: Bacterial small subunit ribosomal RNA
Source: RNAcentral